This 492-nucleotide long non-coding RNA is filed under the name Jatropha curcas. Its description in RNAcentral is "long non-coding RNA (JCUR_LNC002806)". The record is from RNAcentral. Lineage: Eukaryota; Viridiplantae; Streptophyta; Magnoliopsida; Malpighiales; Euphorbiaceae.
CCCACAAAGAGGACUUCGUCAAGGUGAUCCAUUAUCUCCAUAUCUUUUUCUGUUUUGUGUAGGUCUUAUCAAGCCAAAUCAAAAAAGUAGAAUCCCAAAAUAUGCUACAUGAAAUCUCAAUUUGCAGAUAAGCCCCUCCAAUUUCUCAUCUUUUUUUUUUUUUUUUGUUGAUGACAGUAUCAUCUCUAGUCGGGCAUCUCAAUCUGAGGCUGAUGUGUCGCUGAAAAUUAUUUCAGAUUAUAAGCAAUCAUCUGGACCAAAAGUCAACCUAGAGAAGUCUAAAAUAUCUUUUUGUAGACAUGUUCCCCAAUUAAUACUUUAGGAGAAAAUGCCAGGGUUAGCGAGUUGGGGAAUCAAUUUGUAUAUGAAAAUGGGGAAUCAAUUUGUUUAUGGAAAGAUAGGUGGGUUCCAGAUCUUAAUUACUCUGCGAUAUGUUCUCCAAUUAAUACUUUAGGAGAAAAUGUUAGGGUUAGUGAGUUGAUCAACCAUGAA